This is a long non-coding RNA of Malaya genurostris, 5667 nucleotides long. RefSeq lists it as uncharacterized. NCBI's taxonomy places the organism in Eukaryota, Metazoa, Arthropoda, Insecta, Diptera, Culicidae. The transcript has 7 exons. The record is from RefSeq and is a predicted model, not a curated record.
UCUAUUCCAACCAUUUUUUCAAUAGUAUACUAUUAAAAUACUGAAACGACGUCGUCAUACAUGUUUAGGUUAAAACUUUCCGAAUCGAUUGGUUGUUAAAUUAUAACAAUCCAUCAACAAAUGACCGAGUUAUUAACGUUCAAAAUUAUGACACAAAAAGGUUACGCGACUAUUUUUGAAACUUUUAAUUAACACCCGGCCCCAUAUAGUGAAGAGUAAGAGAGUGCCAAAAACGAAACAAGAUGACUGGAACUAGUCGAGUUACUAACGUUUUGUUAAGUGGUUUGGAAUUCACGAGUGAUUUACUAGAAGUUUUUUCACAGUGUGAUCUUGAUCUACAUACAUUGUGCACGGUUUCAUUCGAUGAACUAAAAGAACAUUUGAAACCGAAUGCAGCAGGAGGAACCAAUUGGAAAUACGGUGCUAUUUGUGAUAUGAUAGAUGCUUGGAGGGAGUGAAAUCAAUUAGCUAUCGCGGAGGAAGUUAGACUGAGUGUAUGCAAGGAAAAACUGAUUAUUGCAAAUUCGAAGGAAAGUGAAAGUUCACCUCCACAAUCUUCUCUGUUCAAUCAAGGGGAAACUCAAGAGUCAAUCGGCUUGGACGCCGAGGAAAAUCAAGUUGUGUCAACGGAAGUUGAAUAUCAAUCUGCCGAAUUGAACCUCCGAAUCACCCAGGAAAAUUGUCCCAAUUUCGCAGAUAUCAUAAACAAUCCGAUGUUUGCAAUGUACUUCUACUGCCGAGAAAGCCGAAUCACGUUUGUAUUCGGAAAAUCGUAAUACAUCAAAUUAUUCAUUCGCUACGGGAGACGCAGCAGUUCCGCUAUCACCCAGUGUUUUAUUAGGGCUUCUGACCCAAACUAAGGAGGGGAAAGAAAUAACAAUAUGUGCUAAGGACGGAGAACUUUCAGAGGCUAAGCAGUUUCAACUAGCUGGUGUGAUCGCUCGUUAUCAUUUAGGUCAGUGUAAGAUCACUAAAAAAGAGCUCUUGGAGAAUUACGUUCGUGUUAUAACCACUCUUUUUCCACACGAAAAGUCUGUAAAUUAUUACACUCCUAAAAAUGGGGACCGAAAAAACUUCGGUGGCAAAGUUGCAAAUAAGAUAGGAAAUUUUAAGCAAAAAAAGCGGAAAUCUGAUGCAAAAGAGGUAAAACACAGGAAAAAAAAUUAAGUGCCAAAAACCGAUUGAUACGUUGACAGAUCCAGAAGCGCAAGUAGCAACUGAAUGGUCAAAAUUAAAUUCAGAGCCAUGGAGUACGGUACUGGAAACAAUACCUCCGAAACAAAAAGCAGAUAAGGCAACUUUUUUCAUCGUUCGAGCACUACAAAUUGCGACCGGGAUAUCACUUAUUCGAUAUUGAUUUUCAUCUUACUAACAUCGGUACACUAAGUGGAUUGGAAAGGCUGGCAAGUUUGAGAGCGGGAUUGAUUACCUAUGUAACCAAACAUGCUCAGGAUCCAUCGCAGACAGUUUGAUUUCCGUUUCGAUUGAUAGUUCCUCAUCUGAAGAUAAGGCAACUUUUUUCAUCGUUCGAGCACUACAAAUUGCGACCGGGAUAUCACUUAUUCGAUAUUGAUUUUCAUCUUACUAACAUCGGUACACUAAGUGGAUUGGAAAGGCUGGCAAGUUUGAGAGCGGGAUUGAUUACCUAUGUAACCAAACAUGCUCAGGAUCCAUCGCAGACAGUUUGAUUUCCGUUUCGAUUGAUAGUUCCUCAUCUGAAGAUACCAAACUCUGCACGCUUUUGCUUGGACCUAAUACAAUAUUACUAUUCUUGUAGCACAAGAGGAUACAAUUUUGUUCGUGCCGACAGAAUAACAAAUUCGUUCAAUAAUCCAAUCAGUUUAUGCAGACUUAUGCUGAGCGUAAUCUAGCGAUUGUACCGAAGCUCGUAUUUUUAGGAUCUAGCUACGAUCAACUUGAUGGGAGAUUCUUCGUAUGUUAUGACACUGUGUUAUAUGUUAUGAACUACCUUCAGCGACAAGAUCUCUAGAUGUACUCAUAAAACGAACAGCAGCAUUGGAUCUACCAUAUUCAAAACUCUCCAAACUAGUUUGGCAUUUUGUCGUGAAUACGACUUACUUUACUAUGGGGCGCCUUUUCAACCCGAUCAGAGGAGAAUAUCUAACGAAGACCAUAUUAUGUCAUUCAUUUCGGAAUAUCUAAAUAGUUUUAUUUGGUAUUGGUUAGGUUGAAUUAAGAGCUAAAAUAUCAAAACUGAAUACCAAAAACUUAGACCAUUUAUACCAGAUUCAUAACAAAUUGAGCUAUUUAAGAUACCAAAACAAUACCACAAGAAUAUUAGUUUAUACCCAAUUUCUUUCUUGAUGUCUAUUUGAACCCAAUUUUGAUUACUACGAUUUAGUCGUGCUGAUCUAAAAAUAGAAUCACAAGCUUAAUGUAUUUAUAGCCAACAUUUAGGCGUAUGAAAUUUGCCAUAAAAAAUAUUUGAGGGGAAGAGCUUAAUUGCAUACUUGAAGGCUAAAUUUAGUUAUGAAUUAUAUUUAACAUGUUUGUUAAAGAUGAAACAGUUUCGAACCUGCGCUUUUGAAGUGGAAGGCGGUAGCUUCAACGCAAGGCCAUGGCAUCCGAUUGUUAGUGAGUGGAAAUACAGCCAUUAUAUUAUAAGCCCUACUAAAUGACUUCGUCACCCAGCUAUGAGAACGCUUUCAUAGCUGCUUCGAACUGUUUAAUUUUUUGUCUCUUUCCUUCCUUCUAGAUGUUUUUAUUUCUUUUUGUUCGACGUUUCGCUUUUCGUGGUAAUGAAUAAUCGAAUUGCAAAAUCUGGUCUGCGUUUGCUAUUAAUAAUCUAAAAUCAAAAUCAAUCAUUUCUCGAGCAUAAAAUAAAUACUUUGCAAAUGUUAAAUGUGAAUGAGAUGAUACAGAUAUUAAAUUUACUUCGACAAACAACUUUCUAAUCCUUCGUGGAAUUUGAACGGGAUGGUUUUGAUUUUUCUAUGAGUUGAUCUUGGGUAUUAAAAAACGUUUAUCGACGUCAAAGGCUCUCAUUUUCUUUCAUCAAUAAACGUGAUGCAAAAAUAUGCAAAUAAUAAAUAAGAUUAAUGAACUUUUGUGCAUGCAUUCCAAGUAGAUUCAUGAGAUUCUCAAAUAUGUAGUAAAAACAUAACUACUAUAUUAAAUUUUUCUAGUGCAUUUAGUAUAUAACCACACAAUGAGGUCUUGUUCAUCGCACCUCAACGAAAUUAUAAUGCUAUUCUAUGUCGCCUAUUUUUGGUACACUGCAGUAGUUUCGAAUGUUUUGUCAGAGCUCUGGAAUCGACAGAUAAACGAAAUUUUUUUGUGCGGGUUUCUUAAUCAUAACGGCUUUUGAAAUUGCUUUUCACCAGGUUAACCAGAAAAACACAUAUAAUUUAAUGACAAGUGGAUAUUACAGACCGUGAUUCGACAAUACAAAGGGUGAAAAUAUCUCAAAUGUUCAUGGAACUAGCAUGGAGUAAGACCCGGCCCCCAAAAACACGUUUUGUGAAGACUAAACAGAGUAUAUGUUAACCGGAAUCCAUUUCAUCUAUUCCAUUUCGGAAAAGGUCUUUUUGUAAAUCUUUGUAAGGGACACAUUAAGAAAAAAUCAUGUAAAUUUACGUCUCACCAGCUAACCUGAAGUUAUACAUCGCGUUUUGCAUACAAUUUUUUGUUCGGUUCUAGAAAUGAAGAUGUUUUACAACAAUUUUUGCAUUAUAUAUACGAUCUGAGUCUGUUUUUUACACCCAAUAUUUUUAUCCGGUGUUUGUAUUUAAAAAUAUUUAAGAGUGUUUUUCAUACUAAAUAGUACGUUUCCGAUUUUUGCAUGGAUUUACAAAGUAUCAUAUACCACUUGAAUCCGAUCGUCGAGAUCGGCAAAGUCUGUAUGUGUGUGCUCAACAAAUCGAGUGCACUUUCUCUCAGAGUUGGUUGAACCGAAUUUCAUAAGAUUAGAUUCGUUUGAACGGUCUUGUGAUUCUAUACAAUGCUCAAGAAUUUUAGUUGAAUGUAAAUUCCGGUUACGGAGUUACAGGAAGAUAAGUGCAAACAUUUUGACUAGGUGCUUAUCAUAAAUGACCGUGUAGAGAGCUGCGAUUCGCUUGAAAAUUGAUCAUAAAUUUCUCUAGUUACUCUUGCAGACAGAUCACCCACUGUAAUACCGGUCCCCAGUUUCUGGUUCCGUAAGUACCGGAAAAAUGCAAACAUUCUCAGUGAAGAUUUCUCAGAGAUGAAUGAAUGAAUUUUCAUAAACUUAGGUGUAAAUGAAAGGUAUUAUAAUUUUACACGAUACUCGUGAACACUAUGCGUAUCCGACUUUCGGUUUCGGAAUUACAAGGUGAUAUAGGCUCAAACUAUCAAAGAGUUGUUAAAGAGCGAUAAUGUGGGGAACGGACAAAACGGAUCUGUUCAAUACUGUUCACAAAUUGAAAAGGUGAUGCUAGUUUAUAUCCAAAUAAACUUUUAUGAUUUCUUUCAAGACUCAAUUAUUCUCUUUUUAAAUGCAUUAGUAACGCUUAUAAAAUAGGAGUAACAAGAGAAAGGAUUUAUCGCACCUCUAUGUGCUUUAAAACAAGGUUUUUCGUAAAUUCCGAUCGAUUUAAGCCUAGAUAUAAUGGAUAUAAUGGUGUUGCUCGGAAAUGUUUCGGGAAGAUAAGGCCGAAAAAUUUUCUUGAAGUUUUCCUGCUUAGUGAAAUACUCUGAUUGUAGUGAAACAUAACUAAGAUGGCAACCCGAUUAAACAAUACUCCGUAAAUGUUCACAUUGCUCACGUUCUCAGAUCUCACAAUAAUCAUAAAAUUCAUGGUAUCUUCGUCAAAUUGUGUCAGUUUUGUGUUGUUAUGUUUUCCGUAAAAUUCGAUCAAUUUUAACUUACACUUCUCAUGUUUGGGGCACUUGCUACAGAAAUGGCUUUAUAAUUUCGAUUGAUAUAAUAUAAAAUAUAUCUUUUUUUGUCAAGAAGCAUCGUUUCUCGUCACAUAAAUUUUAUAUUGAACUCUCCAUUUUUAAUGAACUUACUACAGCUCUCCUCCAUAAUAAGCCUCAUGACCACCUCUGAAUAGCGCCAAGCUUGGUGACGAUUUCUUUAGUUGUUUCGUAGUUAUGCUGAAACAUUCAUACACUCGCGUUCAUAAGCAAAUCAAUAUAAUUGUCCCUUAGUUCUUUGAAUUUCCCGGCAUAUUACACCCCCAUAUCCAAGGCACUUGCUACAUCCGCCCCCCAUAUUAUCAUAUCUUCGGUAUGCAAAAUGUUUCUAUGGUCUUCAAAACGCAUCAAUUUUCGUCAAAUUAUAUGACCACUCCCCCACCCCCCUCUCGGUUAAUGACACUUGAUACCAUCCCUCCCCUAUAAAAAUACCCCUAAGACCAUCUCUGAAAUGCAAGAAUUACUUGUGCCAAGUUUGGUGGCAAUCCGUAAAGAAGUUCCGGAGUUAUGGCGUUACAAAUAUUAUAGAUAUAGAUUAUACUUCGAAUAAAUUAAUCAGUCCUCAAAAUCAUUUAAACAGGGUUUACAAUAUUCAAUCCAUUAUUCUGCCAAAAUUCGAGUUUUUUGUGUAUAUUAUGAACUUCUCACUAAAAUUUACUAAAAUGACAGAAAAUGCUGACAGCGGCACUUUAAUACACUCAUACAUUACUCACUGUCAGAAUAAGAAAAUAAUAUUAAAACGAGCUAUCAUUGUAAAUUUAUUCAUUA